AGACUCGGGGUGCUGGCAGCGGCAGCCCACGCCUCCCAGGGAUUGCAGGCCUGGGCGCCGGGGUUGGACCAGUCUCCCGGGCAUGGCACGCCCUGGUUAUUCUGUACCCGUGAUUUGUGGCGGGGCAAGACGUUAAGUUGGGUGACACCGAGGUGAGCCACGGUCCUCGGCACCAGAUGAGGAACCACUGUCUCAAUAAGGUCUCAGUGCUGUGUGUGUAAUGGUUACCGUGAGAGCUUCCCUGCAAUCCGAAUUUGUGUGUCUCAUUCUCAGUGACACCAGUGAUGCUGUUAAACAAGGACAAUCCGGUUCAUGGAUUGUGACAACGCACGCUGACAUCAAGCAGACCCUGCCGUCAGGUACAGAGGGCACCACAGUGACCAGGAACUGCUGUCCUUUCAUACCAGGUUUUAGGAGGCUUUACCAGAAGGAAUGGAAAAUGCUGGUGGGCAGUAAGAUUGAAACAGCAUCUGAGGACUGGUUCUGCACAAAACCUUAAAUUCUUCAAGGACUUUGACAUUUGUUUAUUCUUGUAACAAAUUAAAACCUAUCCUGUGUGUUGGUUAGAGAUCUUCAAACUGUAAAUACCUUGAGGCAGGAGUGAGGUUUUUAUCUUUUAAAGGACAGGCCCCUACUCUCCUACGUAAUGAGUUUCUAAAAAUGGAUGUGAGCACCAAUCAAUAUUUCUCUGGUUGUUAAAGUCAAGAAUAAAAUGGUAUUUUUAAGCUCGCAACUGUGUAGGAUGAAUUCUGUACACUUUUAUUUCCCUCUGUUCUCCUUUCCUAUUUGAAAGUUUAUUAGUUUGUGGACUUGGGAUCGGAUUAUUCAUGCAUUAUUUUUUGAUGUUGUAUGUCUCUUGGUUCUUGGGUAUUUUUGACACAUAUUCUGUCUUGUAACCAUAGUUAAACAAUUGUUUUAGACCAACUCUCUGUGUGUAAUUGGCUUCAACACUCACUGCUAGUCCUUUGACGCUCUGUUUUUUUCCAUUCUUGAGUAAUUUUAAGUCAUCACUUGGGCAGUUGAAAUAUAUUUUAAAGUGAUUUAAAGAAUAUGUGAGUGGCAGACAUUCUGAACUCUUUUGGUUGUCUGUCCUCAAAAACUAAAACUUAUUUGUGAGUAAAAUU
This 1124-nucleotide long non-coding RNA is filed under the name Homo sapiens (human). RNAcentral describes it as "non-protein coding lnc-PTS-1:25". Lineage: Eukaryota; Metazoa; Chordata; Mammalia; Primates; Hominidae. The record is from RNAcentral.